GCACAACAUCCAACAUUGUGUACUUCAUAUCUGGAUUUCAGACCUAAGAAUACGGGCUUACAGUGAGGAGGGAGACAUGCAGAUACGUAGGGUCUGCAACCAUCUUUGGAGAACCAUUUGCAAGUCAGUAAUAUGAUCAGCCAAAAUGGAUGGACGGGUUGGAUAAGACACAUACAUCAUGGUGGGGCUCGCACAGCUUCCAGCACCGACCAGUACUCAGCUCGGUACUGGAGGGUUCACUACCGGAGCCGAUCCCUUCUCGUAUGUGAUAAGGCAGUGGGCCAUUAGCAUAUGGACCGUGCAGUCAGCUUUUUAGUAAAUGCUAUUAAAUACCAUAUAGUUGGCAGAUACCAACUCAUAUAAAUAUUUAUUCAAGCAGUAGGCCCCAAGUUAGAUAUUUUGUUUUUUU
Molecule: long non-coding RNA, 409 nt
Organism: Magnolia sinica
Lineage: Eukaryota; Viridiplantae; Streptophyta; Magnoliopsida; Magnoliales; Magnoliaceae
Exons: 3
Source: RefSeq, a predicted model, not a curated record